RNAcentral lists this ribosomal RNA (758 nucleotides) under metagenome. RNAcentral's name for it is "bacterial SSU rRNA". It matches the Rfam family "Bacterial small subunit ribosomal RNA", at positions 767 to 1520 of the family's 1533-position model. The record is from RNAcentral.
AGCGAAAGGGAUUAGAUACCCCUGUAGUCCUAGCAGUAAACGGUGCUCGCUUGGUGUGGGAGGAUUCGACCCCUUCUGUGCCGGAGCUAACGCGUUAAGCGAGCCGCCUGGGAAGUACGGUCGCAAGACUAAAACUCAAAGAAAUUGACGGGGACCCGCACAAGCGGUGGAGUAUGUGGCUUAAUUCGAUGCAACGCGAAGAACCUUACCUAGGCUUGACAUGCUUGUCGUACUCUCCCGAAAAGGAGAGGUCACUUCGGGUGGACAAUGCACAGGUGCUGCAUGGCCGUCGUCAGCUCGUGUCGUGAGAUGUUUGGUUAAGUCCAGCAACGAGCGCAACCCCUGUGAACUGUUGCCAGCGCGUAAAGGCGGGGACUCUGUUCAGACUGCCCAGAUCAACUGGGAGGAAGGUGGGGACGACGUCAGGUCAGUAUGGCCCUUACGCCUAGGGCUGCACACGUACUACAAUGCCCAGCACAAUGAGAACCGAUACCGCGAGGUGGAGGAAAUCUGCAAAACUGGGCCCAGUUCGGAUUGGAGGCUGCAACUCGCCUCCAUGAAGUCGGAAUCGCUAGUAAUGCCGUAUCAGCUACGACGGCGUGAAUACGUUCCCGGGUCUUGUACACACCGCCCGUCACAUCAUGGAAGCCGGUCGCACCCGAAGUAUAUGCGCUAACUUUAUUGAAGCAGUAUCCUAAGGUGAGGCUGGUAACUGGGAUGAAGUCGUAACAAGGUAGCCGUAGGGGAACCUGCGGCUG